UACGUAGGGGGCUAGCGUUGUCCGGAAUCAUUGGGCGUAAAGCGCGUGUAGGCGGCCCGGUAAGUCCGCUGUGAAAGUCGGGGGCUCAACCCUCGGAUGCCGGUGGAUACUGUCGGGCUAGAGUGCGGAAGAGGCGAGUGGAAUUCCUGGUGUAGCGGUGAAAUGCGUAGAUAUCCGGAGGAACACCGGUGGCGAAGGCGGCUUCCUGGACCGAUUACUGACGCUGAGGCGCGAAAGCUAGGGGAGCAAACGGG
RNAcentral lists this ribosomal RNA (254 nucleotides) under uncultured bacterium. RNAcentral's name for it is "partial 16S ribosomal RNA". It matches the Rfam family "Bacterial small subunit ribosomal RNA", at positions 524 to 776 of the family's 1533-position model. The record is from RNAcentral.